CAUGCUUUAAUUAUAAAGUAAAAAUGUUGGGAUAACACUUUGAUUCAAGUGGGAUAAAAUUCUUGAGCAAGUCAUUAUCCUAAUUCUACAAAUAACUCACGCACACACCCUCCCUUCUCUUCCCCAUUCUCGGCCUCCCCUCUCUCUCUCUAUACUCUCUUUUCCUCCAUUGAUGUCCAUUCAAGAAAGCUUAGAGAAGCUUCAUCAAACACUACUAUGAGAUAAUCCACCAUCCAAUCCAACCAAAUACUAUCAUAUCUCAUCAAAUUCAAGAAGCUAGAGCUAAGAUCAAAGUUGGAGCAAAGUCUUGAUCACCUUUUAAAUCCUUGAACACGAGAAGAGCAAGGAAGUAAGUAACUCCACUUUGACGGGAGAUUUUGAGUAAGGUCUUCAGGAUAAGCGGAGGGGGAGUAUGGUGCGGUGCUGGUGGAGAAUGUUUCGGGUUGACGUUUUCUUUCUCUAUCGUAUGUCUGUUUUGUC
Salvia miltiorrhiza (redroot sage) is the source of this 480-nucleotide long non-coding RNA. RefSeq lists it as uncharacterized. The transcript is spliced from 3 exons. Lineage: Eukaryota; Viridiplantae; Streptophyta; Magnoliopsida; Lamiales; Lamiaceae. The record is from RefSeq and is a predicted model, not a curated record.